Molecule: ribosomal RNA, 466 nt
Filed under: uncultured bacterium
Lineage: Bacteria
Description: partial 16S ribosomal RNA
Rfam family: Bacterial small subunit ribosomal RNA
Source: RNAcentral
CGAACGCUGGCGGCGUGCUUAACACAUGCAAGUCGAACGGAAAGGCCCUGCUUUUGUGGGGUGCUCGAGUGGCGAACGGGUGAGUAACACGUGAGUAACCUGCCCUUGACUUUGGGAUAACUUCAGGAAACUGGGGCUAAUACCGGAUAGGAGCUCCUGCUGCAUGGUGGGGGUUGGAAAGUUUCGGCGGUUGGGGAUGGACUCGCGGCUUAUCAGCUUGUUGGUGGGGUAGUGGCUUACCAAGGCUUUGACGGGUAGCCGGCCUGAGAGGGUGACCGGCCACAUUGGGACUGAGAUACGGCCCAGACUCCUACGGGAGGCAGCAGUGGGGAAUAUUGCACAAUGGGCGGAAGCCUGAUGCAGCAACGCCGCGUGCGGGAUGACGGCCUUCGGGUUGUAAACCGCUUUCGCCUGUGACGAAGCGUGAGUGACGGUAAUGGGUAAAGAAGCACCGACUAACUACGUG